This is a long non-coding RNA of Poecile atricapillus (Black-capped chickadee), 4225 nucleotides long. RefSeq lists it as uncharacterized. The transcript is spliced from 3 exons. The record is from RefSeq and is a predicted model, not a curated record. NCBI's taxonomy places the organism in Eukaryota, Metazoa, Chordata, Aves, Passeriformes, Paridae.
UGCCCCAGAAGCUUCAAAGAGCGUGCCGGCGCCGAACCCCGACCCAGCACCCAGCGCAGUUCCAGCUUCGCCACAGCUACAAGCACAUCAUUCACAGCCAGAAGAAGCCACACAGCAGAAGGAAACACAAGAUCUCCACAAAGAGAACUAGAAUCUUCACCUCACCACUAGCCCAGAAGGACAAGCACGUCUAGCCACGCUGUCAGCUGCUUCAAACCUACUGAUGUUCAAGGCAGAAAACGUCCCCACUAGAGAUCCACUGAUCUUCUGGAUGGAGGUAAAACAAAAAGCAGUUGAAAGCGGGGGGGAUUGAACUGAACUGAUCUCUGCACCCGUGUAUUUACCAAUAGAAGAGGGCUGGCAGCAGGGAGGGGGAACAAUAGGAGCAUUCCCAGUUGUGCGAAGUAAUGGCACAACACCUGAUCAAUAUGUACCCUUUAACUGGCAAGUCCUUUCCGAGCUACGCCAGCUGGCUGCUAACAGGGACUAGGAUCUCCUGCUGUAGCAAGUAUGCUAAGAUUUAUAACUGCUAGUGAAUUAACUCCAUAUGAUAUGCAGCACUUUGCAAAAUCAAUCUCUAGUCUGGUGCAGUAUAUGAUGUUUGAAACGGCCUGGAGAUCUUACGCAGAGAAUCAGGGGUUGAAAAAUGCAAUAACUUCGCAGCAGGACCCAUGCUUUGGGGCAGGCAUUCCUCAACUAAUGGGAUUGUAUCCCACAGAAGAUCUCCAAACCCAGGCUCGCUUGAACUCUGCAAUUCUAGCCCAAGUGAAAGACUCAGCAAUGUGAGCUCAAACAAAAAUUACAGACUUGUCAGUGCCAACCCAAAGCCAUUCAAGCAUAAGACAGAACCCCAAUGAGUUAUAUAUGUAUGGACGCUAACUGUGAAACAGAGGAGCACAGUGCCUGUGAAAAUUGCAGGCCACAUAACUUUCUCAGUCUUGCCUGAGAAAGUGGCCUGGGAAAUCAUGAGGAGGAAUUAAAACAAUCCUCACAGACAGAAAACAGCCUUGCAGGUGCUGUUUGUCUGUUCCUUGUUUUCUUGCAGGAGAAGGUCGAGGGGUGGUGAGCCCCACUGACCAAUGAUGGUGAUGUGUUAGUUUACUAACCAGUAAGAGUUUCUUUUCUGUACUUUCCACAUAUCGGUCUAGAAAAAAGACCUGAAGCAAUAAACUAAGAGAAAAUUCUCCUGAUUGACUCCUGAGAGAGUCUGUGUCGUUCUUCUCGCCGUUCCUAAUAGAGUGACAUAUAUGCAAUUCAUAGAAGGUUUGCAGGAUGCUAUGGAAAAACAAAUCACAAACAGUGAAAAAAGGGGUCAAUUGAUGCUAGAAUUGGCACGAGAUACUGCAAACCAAGACUCUAGAAAAAUUAUAGAUGCAUUACCUCAAGAGAAUCCCUCUCUGGAGGAGAUGAUUACAGCAUGCGCUAAGGUUGGGACUGGAUCUCAUAACAUGGAUAUGCUAGCCAAUUCUAUUAGAGCUGCUGUUAAACUCACAGCCUAUUGCUAUAAGCAUGGACAACAAGGCCACGUGAAAAUAAACUGUGCACACAAGCCCAUUCUACAGGGGACAUCUCAGGGACAAAGAAGUGGCAAUGCAAGCCACUGAUGUGGGAGAGUCGGACAUACAGCCAAGGUAUGCUGGUCCAAAUUUCAUGUUAAUGGGCAAUCUCUCAAAGACCAGGGAAAAGAGAAGCCCAACGUGAAGGGGAAACACAUGAUGACACAAGUAUUUUCCCACCCUCCAGCACAAGCCUCAACAACCAGCUCACAGCAAGGACAAGGGGAUCAGCUGGCAUGGAUGUUUCCACCUCAAUCCCAAUAACCAUAAACUCAUUCCAAGUGCACAAAGUCUCUCUCGAGGCCCACGGGCUCAUAGGGCAAGGACUGAGUGCGCCGCUAAUAGGGAGAUGCAGUGCAACUUUACAAGCAGAUUCUAAGGAGCCAGGAGACCAAGGCUUCGGAUCAACAGGACAGCCCCAGGUGUACUGGACUCGAGUCGUAGGUGAUCAAAGACCGAAUAUGGUUUGUACUGCUACGAUGCUUCAGGCGAGGCCCUCACAGAUAAAGGUCAGUGGCAUGAUUGACACAGGAGCAGAUGUCACCAUUAUCUCUACCAACACAUGGCACUCAUCCUGGCCUACCACACCUGCAGGAUCUGCUGUUGCUGGCCUUGGAGGGACCACACAGAGCUGUUUGAGCAGCAAUCCGGUGUUAAUCAAAAAUCCAGAAGGCCAAGUAGCCACAGUACGGCCUUACAUCACUGCAGUGCCACUGAACUUGUGGGGGAGGGAUGUUCUGUCAGCAUGGGGGUUAGAGUGGGAAGGGAUUUUUGACAGGGGCCACUGUAUUGAUGGGUGUAAAUUAUCCUACUCCAGCCCUGAAAUGGCUUACAGAUCAGCCCAUGUGGGUGCCACAGUGGUCCCUUGAAAAGCUAGAUGCCCUAAAAUCGUUAGUACAAGAACAGCUAGCCCAAGGACACUUAGAGCCAUCUAUGAGCCCUUGGAACACCCCAGUAUUUGUCAUAAAAAAUAAGAAAAAAAUCCGAUAAAUGGAGAUUUCUCCACUACCUAAGAAAAGUCAAUUCUGUGAUAGAAAGCAUGGGCACAUUGCAAGCAGGUAUGCCAUCUCCCACAAUGAUACCUACCUCCUGGGACAUUCUGACAGUAGAUUUGAAAGAUUGUUUCUUUACUAUUCCACAGCACCCUGAUGAUACCCCAGAGUUUGCUUUUACAGUGCCUUCCAUUAAUAACACAGCAACAGUGCAACAUUAUCAAUGGAAAGUCCUACCCCAGGGGAUGAAAAACAGUCCCGCAGUUUGCCAGUGGUACAUUGCACAGGCACUCUCAUCAGUGAGAAAGCAAUUUCCAAGGGCAUACUGUUACCAUUACAUGGAUGACAUUUUAAUUGCAACCCAAACCAAAAAAGAGCUUUCAGAGAUUCAGCCAAGCUUCCUGCAAGCAUUAAAAACAUUUGGGCUGCAGGUAGCACCAGAGAAGGUGCAGCAGCAAGCACCUUGGAAAUAUUCAGGACUCAAAAUAAUGAACCAGACUAUACAACCACAAACAAUUCAAUUUUCAACCAAAAUUCAGACACUAAAGGAUGCACAAAAACCCAUCAGCUGGGUCAGACCUUAUUUAGGACUGACAAAUUCACAAUUAGCACCUUUAUUUGACCUACUACAAGGUGAUCCGGAAUUAACUUCCCCUAGAAAAUUAACCCCAGAGGCAAAGGCUGCUCUCAAAACAGUGGAGCAAGCUAUCUCAAACUAACAAGUCCACCGGCUAUGCCCAGGCUGCCCUGCACCCUACUGCUAUUCUAGGACAGUAGAACACUCACUGGCCUGAUCCUUUGCACAUCCUAGAGCGGCUGUUUUUACCUCAUCAACCAAAAAAGACAGCACCCACAGUAUUUGAGCUAAGAGCACAGUUAAUCAUCAAAUGUCGUCACAGGUCUUUACAGUUGAACACAAGAGAUCCUUCACGAAUUAUACCUGUGACACAAGAACAUUUUGAAUGGUGUUUUACUAACAGUACGGCCUUGCAAAGAGCCCUGAAAAAUUUCACAGGACAAAUUGCUUAUCAUUUACCAAGCCAGAGAUUGUUAAAGUUAAGUGGAGACACCACAUUAUCUCUUAAACCUCUGAAUAGCAGAACAGCCUUCAAGGGUGUUACAGUGUUUACAGAUGGCUCUGGGAAAACAGGGAAAGCCACAGUGACCUGGAAAGAGGAGGCUGAGUGGCAAGUGUUGGAAAGUUAUCAGAACGCAUCUCCCCAGUUAGUAGAAUUACAUGCUGUAGCUAUGGCUUUCCAACGUUUUCCCCAUAUCCCUCUAAAUAUAGUAACUGAUUCUGCAUUUCUAGCUGACAUCACAUAGAGAUUAGACCAAGCACUGUUAAAGGAAAUUGAUAAUGUGCCAUGGCGGCAGAGGUGGCAGGGGUGCCGCGAUGACCCGGAAGAAGAGGUCCGAGGCUGGACUGCUCGGAGGCACAGGCACAUCCUCUGCCUGGUGAGCGAUUUCAGCUCAGCUCAGCAACAGCGUGCAGGCGACACGGAGAGAGAGACUAGAGCGCUGUGUGGCGUUGUGCAGAGAACUAGCCUUUAUUAAAGCAGGGCCCUCGGCAAAGGGAGCCAGUGACAGCAGCUCUCCUCGAACAGGGGAAAAACUGGGGUAUUUAUAGGGGAGGAGAGGGGUGCGGGGGAAACUGGGAUACACAUGUAUCAGGGUGGA